CAUGGUAGAAGAUAUAACUUUCAUGCCGUCGAACUCGCUAAACAAGUUAGCAGGGAUAUUACCACUAAGGAUUUCAACAGCAUCCUUAUCCCAGAACAAGUUCGUCUUAGCGCUGGCAUCACUGUUAACACGCUCUACAGUGGCUCCGUUUAGAAUCACAGUAUCGAUGUUAGCAUACUUAGCUUCUAACAGAGACAGAGCACCGUCAUCAGCAGCGAUAGGCUUAGGAUAUACCGUAAUGCUAGUGCCUGUAGGCUUAGCAACAAUAGUAAAUAACUUAGCCUGACCUGUAUCAGUUUGGU
This 302-nucleotide ribosomal RNA is filed under the name uncultured eukaryote. RNAcentral's name for it is "partial small subunit ribosomal RNA". The record is from RNAcentral.